Molecule: long non-coding RNA, 2217 nt
Filed under: Junco hyemalis (dark-eyed junco)
Lineage: Eukaryota; Metazoa; Chordata; Aves; Passeriformes; Passerellidae
Description: lncRNA (ENSJHYG00000012675.1)
Source: RNAcentral
AUGGGACCUGUCCAAGGGAUGGUUUCUUACCAUAUCUGGCCUGUCUGGAUCACAGUUACACCUACUGGAUUUGCUGGGGUUCUGACUCUACACUUUGGAGGACCACCUCGAUUGUUUUUGGUUUUGCACUGCAGGUCUGUCCUUUUUAUUUUGAGGAGAGUGGGGAAAAAAAUAGGGACACAUACCAACAGCCUUAGAGUUUGGCAAAGCUGGUGCUGCUGCAGCUGGAGAGGUAUCUGAUCAUACUUGGUUAAUAGUCUAGCAGAGUUUGCUCAAUAUGCCCCAGCUCCUCCCAAAGAUUCAGCCCAUGGCAUGCUGUAGGCCAGGGAACAAUACUUUUGAGGCCUUAAUGUGUAGUAGCAUUACAGCCUGUACUAGGGAUCCUUAAAAGCCAGUCAUCCCUGGGUCAGGUAGGUUUUAAUAGUAACACACAAAUAGCAGAGAGUGGAUGAGCUGAGUCGUCCUGCACGUGAUCUCUUCUCUGCCUUUCCUGCCCUGUUCAGCGUAACUCGAGAAUUUGAUCUGAUCUCCUCUGUGGCCUAUAAAAUCAUAAUAAGAGCUUUAGUGACGCCUCUCUAAUUAAAGUUGAAUUGAAUUUUGUGCUUCAAGCAUGACUUAAACAUUCAUUACUCAUGAAAAAUUAUACCAUAUCCUCUCCAACUUAUGCCAAGCAUUCUUUGAGUACCAAAUGAGAAUUUUGUAAGAUUUUUUUUUUUAUUUCUUGCUUUUGCAGUAGGAAUUAAAAAGGGAUCUGAUAUACAGUCUGUGCACGCAGGGACAAAUUUUAAAACCAGUUUGCCUUAAGCCAUUAAGAAACUAUCUCCAAACCUUCUCUCACUGUACUAUCUGCCCACCUCCUGGAUUUAACUCCAGGCUUAUUGACUGUGGAUGGGAGGACUCCCAGAUACUUCACUAACUUUGAUUGCAUUGUUCUUCUGCCAUCAGCUUUCCUUUGCUGCUGUGGAAAGAACUGCUCUAAUUUCCUAGUUAAAGUCCAAAUUUGAGACUGAAAUUGCUGUGUGAGCUUUAUACUCAUUAGAAGUACCUAAAAGGAGCCUGGAAACCCACGCUGUUUGAUUCAGAGAUGGACAGUGAUACGGUUGGCAGCAGACACAAGUUCCAAAAAUAGCAAUUUCUGUUAGAUAUUAGGAAAACAUGCCUGCCACUUCAAGGAUUGUGGAACACGAGAGUAGGAGCCCACAGACAAUGUGGGAUUGAUAUCCUUGGAGAUAUUCUGAACCUGAAUGGGCAAGGUCUAGCACAAACUCUUCUCAGCUGGCCCUGCUUCAAACAGGAUGUAGGACUGGACAAUUUCAAGAGGUCAUUUGUGACUUAGAAUGGUCUCUGAUACUAAGGUGUACCACUUUUUGGGGUGCAGAGGAUGAGUCUACUGAGACCACAAAUAGUCCUUAAUUGCAAAGUUGUACACGAUUCAGACAUGGUUGACGAGCAUGAGUGCUGGAAGGAUGUGAGGGAAAGAAAAUAGAUAAGCAGUUUUUGACUUGUGUUUGAAAAGCCGACAGUUUAGGGGUGAAAAGUUGAUAAAAAAAAGUAAAUAUAUUGUCUGUGAAUUUCCUUUUGCAGAAGAUGUAGCUACUGGAAGAAUCUUUAUCAAUGAAGAAGGACUGAAACAUUGAUUAGGACUCUUCAGGCUGAGAUAGAGUGAAGAUGCAGCCCAAAUGACCUUGGUAAAGUGCUGUGGGGGAGACUGUUCUUAUGUCCUUUUUUUUCCCCAUGUACAUGCCUGUCCCUGAUGAGUUUGUGAUUUGACUAAGGGGACAGGGAAUAGAGAUGAAAGAGUAGAAGGUGUGCUUUUGGCUGAAAAUAUAAAACCCAUGAAAACUGCUCACCUGUGUUUCUCUGUUCAGAGGAAGUGUGGAAGGAACUUCCCUGGCAGUGCCAAGUGGACUCAGAUGCAGAAGAGGACCAAGAUAUUAAGAAAUACAUGAAUUAAGCAUGGCUGAGAAAAUGCAGGGUGAAUCUGCAAACCUAAAGGAUUCAUUUAUUCCCAUUAUUUCCCUUAAUUUAUUUCAUGCUUACUCUGUGCCUUUCUUGCAUUUGUUCUCUCCUUUAAAAAGAAAAACUUGUAUAGUUUUCUAGUGACCUGGAAGACUUAAUUUUUUUUUCUUUAAAGAAAAUAGUCUGCAGAAUAAUCUUCUCUUCUAGGCAAACAAAUGUCAUCUUCAGAAUAAAACACACAUAGAUGAGGAAAUUCCA